Long non-coding RNA from Mauremys mutica (yellowpond turtle), 196 nucleotides. RefSeq lists it as uncharacterized. The transcript has 3 exons. Lineage: Eukaryota; Metazoa; Chordata; Testudines; Geoemydidae. The record is from RefSeq and is a predicted model, not a curated record.
AAAUAGAAAUUUACAUGGGUAAAGUAUUGGUUCCGACUUCACAAUACCACCCUCUACUUCUUUACGAAGAAACAUGGAGAUGCAUUACGCCUCCAUGGACACUACUCCAUGUACAUAGUGCAGUCGGUGCGCGAGGUACAAGCUGUGAAAGCCGAUUACCCUUUUGAGAUCACAAUGACAAACGGAAAGAAGAAAC